GACGUCCCCGUCCUCGAACUGUUGUGGCCACCGCACCUUCAUCUCGUGCAGAGUCAGCGACACCAAUUGAGGUGAGGAACAAU
Molecule: microRNA precursor, 83 nt
Filed under: Schistosoma japonicum
Lineage: Eukaryota; Metazoa; Platyhelminthes; Trematoda; Strigeidida; Schistosomatidae
Description: microRNA sja-mir-3487 precursor
Source: miRBase by way of RNAcentral